Non-coding RNA from Pseudomonas sp., 101 nucleotides. NCBI's taxonomy places the organism in Bacteria, Pseudomonadati, Pseudomonadota, Gammaproteobacteria, Pseudomonadales, Pseudomonadaceae. The record is from Rfam.
UUCGGCCUCGCACUGAUUUUUCGGUGCCCUCUGCACGCCGUCGCCGACGCAUCCCUAAUUCGAAUCAGUACGCGAUCCUGUCGCCUUCUUUGCGGCGCGGC